UUCUUCGAAAGACUUUCCGUUUGUCCUCGUCUACUGAUGUCUACUGAUUUAAGCUUACCGCCGAUAAAAUACACCAUUCAAUAGUGUUUUAUUGCCAGUCAUCUUUGCGCUAAAAGUGUUUACUUACUCCACUGGUGGAGUGAAGAUUCGUGAACGUCGCAGGUUUUUAAACCGUGAAGAUUACUUCGUUGAAGACCGGAUUGGCGUCCGAGUGUCCGAGUGUGCGAGUCCAAACCCAGUGUGUUUCUUUUCCACGUUGAUAUCUGGCCGGGUCUUUUCUUUGGAUCGAUUCAAGUGUUCAAGUGAAUUCAGCUGCUGUGCGAUCGCCUUCAAGUACCUCCGUGAAGGCGAACCCCAACAGCUGUGGCGAGCCUGGCCUUCAGAUAAGAACUGUUGAUAACUGAAUGAAUGAGACUCUUUUAUUUUGUUUUGUCUUGUUUUCUUCUUCGUCUUUUGUAAUACAGUGUAUUCAGCGUUUCAUGCUAUAGCUUCUAUUACCUGUCCUAUUUAUAUAUUUCUAUCUACUCACCCGGGUGAUUUGGCCUAGUUGUCUAUUGGAUUAUAUCUGGUGAAUGUAGUUGCAGAUUUAAUCGUCUGCAAUAUAUAUUUUUAUUUUUAAUUAUUUAUUUUAUUUGAAUCUGCAGAUUCUCUUUUGUUUAUCUGAUUGUUGUUUGUUUAUGUCCAUCUUAUUGGACAGAAAGCCUACUACACUAAGUUAUUCACUCACCAAUUUAUGAAAUAUUAAUAUCCCCCUACUUAUCAUCUUGAUUAUUAUUAAUACAAUAUUUCUAACUUACAAACUCCGUCUGUGUGUGUUUUGCUUUUGCUCUGUGUUGGUACACUCCUUUCUUUAGUAGCGAGCCUAGGUUUUAUUGAUGCGCAACACAAGCAGAAGGUAAAGACAAUAUUUUGUCAAAAUAGUGAA
Molecule: long non-coding RNA, 925 nt
Organism: Engraulis encrasicolus (European anchovy)
Lineage: Eukaryota; Metazoa; Chordata; Actinopteri; Clupeiformes; Engraulidae
Exons: 3
Source: RefSeq, a predicted model, not a curated record